This 520-nucleotide long non-coding RNA is filed under the name Brassica rapa (field mustard). RNAcentral describes it as "long non-coding RNA (BRAP_LNC003712)". The record is from RNAcentral. Lineage: Eukaryota; Viridiplantae; Streptophyta; Magnoliopsida; Brassicales; Brassicaceae.
CUAAAUCCCUUUGGUUUCUCCGUACAUAUGAUCCGCUUUUCUCUCACAAUCUCUCUGUUUUAUCCAUCAGAACCCUUGCUAAGAAAUUAUCUCCAAUCCAUCUCAAUCCGUUUAAUUUCUCCGACGGAACCCUUGUUCCGAAACAGUCUCCCGUCCAUCGAAUACGAGACCAACUCUUUGUUGAAAUCCUUUCUCCAAAAUGAUAUCACAUCUGCCGGAUCAUGUUCUUCAUUCACACCAUUCUUGAUUGUAUCCGUACGAUUGUAAGUCACUCUUUGUUUUUCCUUUUCUGAAUUUUUUUCAGUAUUAGGGCUAACACACGCCUCUUAUACUGUUCAAGCUCAGGUCUUGAUUUCAUCUAAUCUCCCGUUGGCAAAUAUGGAGACCAUUGAGUUACCAUCUCAGAUUUUUGCUGCUGGAGAGGAACCAGUAUAAAGAGACGAUAUAUCGUUGUCUCAAAGCACCAUAGCUCUGUCCGGAUACGUCCAGUCCCUCCAUACCCCCCCACCCCCCCCCCCCC